This 147-nucleotide unclassified non-coding RNA is filed under the name soil metagenome. RNAcentral's name for it is "partial internal transcribed spacer 1". The record is from RNAcentral.
CCGAGUUUACUACUCCCAAACCCCUGUGAACAUACCACUUGUUGCCUCGGCGGAUCAGCCCGCUCCCGGUAAAACGGGACGGCCCGCCAGAGGACCCCUAAACUCUGUUUCUAUAUGUAACUUCUGAGUAAAACCAUAAAUAAAUCA